This 98-nucleotide small nuclear RNA is filed under the name Pseudonaja textilis. The record is from RNAcentral. Lineage: Eukaryota; Metazoa; Chordata; Lepidosauria; Squamata; Elapidae.
AUGCUCACUUCAGCAGCACAUAUACUAAAAUUGGAACGAUACAGAGAAGAUUAGCAUGGCCCCUGCUCAAGGUGGUUAAAAAAAUAUAUCAAGGUUUC